CUAUAGAUUCCCCAUGAUGUUGUUAAUGAUACAGUUGGUCUGUUCUAUAGAUUCCCCAUGAUGUUGUUGAUGAUACAGUUGGUCUGUUCUAUAGAUUCCCCAUGAUGUUCUUAAUGAUACAGUUGGUCUGUUCUAUAGAUUCCCCAUGAUGUUGUUAAUGAUACAGUUGGUCUGUUCUAUAGAUUCCCCAUGCUGUUAAUGAUACAGUAGGUCUGUUCUAUAGAUUCCCCAUGAUGUUGUUAAUGAUACAGUAGGUCUGUUCUGUAGAUUCCCCGUGAUGUUGUUAAUGAUACAGUUGGUCUGUUCUAUAGAUUCCCCAUGCUGUUAAUGAUACAGUAGGUCUGUUCUGUAGAUUCCCCAUGAUGUUGUUAAUGAUACAGUUGGUCUGUUCUAUAGAUUCCCCAUGAUGUUGUUAAUGAUACAGUUGGUCUGUUCUGUAGAUUCCCUGUGAUGUUGUUAAUGAUACAGUUGGUCUGUUCUAUAGAUUCCCCAUGGUGUUGUUAAUGAUACAGUAGGACAGUUCUAUAGAUUCCCCAUGGUGUUGUUAAUGAUACAGUAGGUCUGUUCUGUAGAUUCCCCAUGGUGUUGUUAAUGAUACAGUAG
Oncorhynchus keta (chum salmon) is the source of this 603-nucleotide long non-coding RNA. RefSeq lists it as uncharacterized. NCBI's taxonomy places the organism in Eukaryota, Metazoa, Chordata, Actinopteri, Salmoniformes, Salmonidae. The transcript is spliced from 3 exons. The record is from RefSeq and is a predicted model, not a curated record.